UUCAUAUUAAGAUGCCUGUUGCUGUAGUUCAACACUCGUAGCGAAGCUUUGCUAUUGGCACAAAAGCCAUAGCUGAAGUCGAGAAAUCCCAAAGAGUAUCGUACACAUUAGCAAAGAGUCCGCUGAAGUUGCUGCGAGAAAUCCCAAAGAGUAUCGUACACAUUAGCAAAGGGCGCAAGUUGUUGUAUCCAUACUUCUUCUUGCGACAGUUAUUAGCACGGGGAUGGAGACGAGCAUACCAUUUACGGCCCCCACCUUUAUCAUGAAUUGUGAUGAUGAUAUCCAUAAAAAAUGCUUUGGCAGUUGCUGUUGAUAAUAAAAACGAUGACGACUGAUAUUGAGAGUGAGUUGAUUACGAUGUCGAUGUCAUUGUGGUACGUUUGGCAGCACUGUGAGCGACCUUGGGGCGCAAGUUGUUGAUGUCUCCAUACUUCUUCAAUAAAUAAUGCAUUAAACUCUAUAGUACAAACAAAGAAUUUGUUAU
Molecule: long non-coding RNA, 484 nt
Organism: Stomoxys calcitrans (stable fly)
Lineage: Eukaryota; Metazoa; Arthropoda; Insecta; Diptera; Muscidae
Exons: 4
Source: RefSeq, a predicted model, not a curated record